Molecule: RNA transcript, 3214 nt
Organism: Dermochelys coriacea (leatherback sea turtle)
Lineage: Eukaryota; Metazoa; Chordata; Testudines; Dermochelyidae
Exons: 3
Source: RefSeq, a predicted model, not a curated record
GCCGCUACCGGGUGCGCGCCUCCGCCGCCGCUCGCGUCGGGAACUGGGAGCGCGCGUCGCUGGCGGACUGUGCAUCGCGGCAGGCCGGCGCGCUCCCGUGCGUGGCGGUGUCUCCUCGGCCGGCGGGCGGGCGGGAGGGAGGGAAGGAGCGAGCGGUUGGUUUGUCGGGCCGGGCCCCAGCCGUGUCGGCGAGAGCCUCGCAGCGAGUCGCCCCGCAGCCGGGACGGUAAGGGGGAGCCAGGCCGCUUGCAGCGUGGUCCCGCCCAGCGCCCAGAGAGCAUUCCAGUGCACUUCUGAGGACUCACUCACACCCAGGAAAUAACUGGAAUGAUGGACCUUCCCGUUCUGGAAAUUUACAGGUCUGCUAUCCUCCAAGUGUUACCACUACCAAAGAUAAACUACACUGUAAACACUGUGAAAAUAUAAAGCACUGCACAUAAGUGUGAGAGAAUAUGUCUGUACCAAACGGUCAACUCCAUUUUGUUUUGUGACAAUAUAUCCAUAAAUUGCAAUCUACAUUUUUUAAAAAUUCACUAGUCUUUGUCUUGCUAAUACAAUCAGUGCUGAGCCAGGUGUUAAACUCCAACAUACCAUGUUAAGAAUGGUCUAAUUCUGUAAAUUUAGUCAUCGAUUGGCUUCUCUCUAAAAUUCUUAGCUUAAAAAAAUAGUCACAGUCCCAACUCUGCCGCCCAGGACUUCUUAACAUGAUUGUGCCUGUUUCAAGGAGUUAUGAAGAGAGCAUCUCCCCACCUCCACUACUGAUUUCCAUUCCUGAUAGCAUUAAGGCUCUCUGCUGGUUUAAUAAAGCAGUGGGUACAGCUCAACACCUUCACUGGACUCUCACAAAACCUUCCAUCAUGUUCUUUAAAUCAUUUAAUAUUAUUAACACAAUAUAAAAUGCUGCUAAAAAGUAAAGCUCAAAGUCAUCCUUUCAGCAUGGCCUGGCAUUCUCUUGUUUAUCUUACUGAAUACUGAACUUUGCAGAAAGUUGAGGACUUGUUACAAACAUGAUAGUGAUUAGCUUUCUGAGUAUGAUUAAAAUACUAGGUUGUUAUAUGAAAAUGCCCAUUAAUACUAUAUUCCAAUAAAGAAUCUAUAGUUAUUUCCAGGACAUUUAUAAAAAAACCCACCCCUUUACCACGUUAACCAAAAACGUAAAGAUUGUAAAUGAUUUGUACUCUUGAACAGCAUCCAAAAUAUUUGGCAGUGGUGAUAAAACAAACAAUUGCUUACACAGAAUUAAUGUUGCUCCUCGGUUGAUUACCAAGCUAGCCCACUACUGCAAUAAGGAUGUGCUAAACAAAAGUGCUGGUAAAAGACUGCUUUUUAGUUCCUGGCUUGAGUCGCAUGACAUUGGUGAGGCUUAUAACAGGUCAUAUGGUCAGUAUCCAAUAUCUGUUACAACUUUAAUUUUUUUUUCCUGUUCCUGACUUGUAUAUUUAAAUUUAAUCUAUUUAUUUGAGAUACAUAUAUGGGAUAUCUCAGUGCCUCACCAUCUUUAAUAUAUUGCUUCUAACAGCACCCUCUUAUGGGUUGUAAGGAAAUACAUUUUACAGAUGGCGAACUGAGGCACAAAAAGACAUUGACUUGCCCACAGCUACACAAGAAGUCUGGGACAGGGAACUGAACCCAUGUUUUUCAAGUCUCGGGCUAGCAUCCUAACUAUUGGAAAAUCCUGCCUCUAAAUUUAUGACCAUAGUUCACAACCUGCCAGGCUCAAAUAUGAUAUGCAAUGUGGAGAAAGACCCUAACUGAAGAACACCAAAAAUUAUUCAUAAAGAAGCUUAAAAUGCUAUGAAAUUCAUCCCUUUAAUGUAAAUAAUUCUUACUGUAACCUUUGUUUUAUGUUUCUGCAUUUCUGAUGUAAAUAACUUUCAACAAUAAAUAGAAUGGACAUUAAACUUGUGUAGAAAUUUGUAGGGAAAUAUGGGACUGAAAUGAAGGAGAUUUGAGAAUAAUGUUUUUAAAAGUUUAAUGUGGCAGAUAUUGAGCUGUCAUAUAAUAAUUAAGAAUGUAGCUAGGUAAGAAUUUUAUAAACCCUAUAUGCGACCUGGUCAGUGACUAGACCAUUCUGUCGCACACCUUAAAGACAAGCGGGCGGGGGGAAGCUAUUGAUUUUGAAGAUCCUAUUUUAUGUCUCCAUCAAAGCUGUAAACUCUAUUUUCCCAGGCCAGUAACUUGGAAAUCAAAGAACAAUAAACAGUUAAAAAAGUAUUGCUCAGGAGACCCUUCCCAAGAUCCUUCCCUACCCUGCCAGUUUGUAGUCUGUGUUGUAAAAGCAGCCGGCCUUAAUGAGGCCAGUCUAUUGUAGACACUGGUCCUGCCAGAAAAGGUGAAACACACCUUGAAGAUGACUUUCAAUGAGACAGCCAUCAAGACCGAUCAACUCUGUCUCUCAACUAUUGAUCCAUACACAAGACCAAUGAACUGUCUACAAAGAAGUCUGGCUGGGGGGAGGGGCUGGAGUACCUUAGCUUUGGCCAAAAGGAUCUAUGGUUUUAUUUAAAGGGGAAUGUUCCCUGUGAAAGGGGAUCAUCCACCACCAUGUGCCAGAAGAUUGGCCAGGAGAGUGUGCUUUAUAUACCCACGUCUAGGAACAGUGAGUAUAUGAGAUUCAGCAGUUGGGUCUACUGGACUGGGCCAGGUUGUGACACUAAAGCUAUGUUUACAAACUUUUGCUGGUAUUACCUGUUGGUCAUGAGUGAACAGAGGUGUGAUCCAUGACCAACAGCUCUGCCGGCAGAAGUCUGUGAUUUAGAUGCAGCCAUACUGGCAAAACUGCACUUUUACUGGGAUAGCUUGUUUCAUUCAUGAGGGGUGGUUUUACUAUUUUGGUACUAAGUGCAGCUAUGCUAGUAUACCCAUACCACUAAAGCACACCUAGUGUAGGCAUAGCCUAAGUAUUCUAGCCUUCCUCAGAUGCCUCCCUAUAAACAGCUUCCAAGGCUACCAAAAUUCUCAGGUAUCUCACAGCUCAAAUACAGGCCUACCUUCCUCCAGCCCUAUCUGAACAACAUGAUUUUGAUCAGUUUGAGAUAAGCAUAAGGAAGGGUGUGUUGUACUCCUGUUUAUUUUAUUGAUCAAGGCUCCUCCUACUAAAUGGACAUCCAAACACAAUUAACAAUGCAAUAUUCAGGCAGUAAUCCAUCCCAUCACUGAAGUAUAAUAAAAACUGAAUGCAAAGGUUUCUUAAUGUUUGGCUUUCAUAAGUUCC